AGCUUGACACUGAACAUUGAGCCUUGAUGUGUAGGAUAGGUGGGAGGCUUUGAAGUGUGGACGCCAGUCUGCAUGGAGCCGACCUUGAAAUACCACCCUUUAAUGUUUGAUGUUCUAACGUAGGCCCCUUAUCGGGGUUGCGGACAGUGUCUGGUGGGUAGUUUGACUGGGGCGGUCUCCUCCUAAAGAGUAACGGAGGAGCACGAAGGUUGGCUAAUCCUGGUCGGACAUCAGGAGGUUAGUGCAAUG
This 249-nucleotide ribosomal RNA is filed under the name Escherichia coli. RNAcentral describes it as "partial 23S ribosomal RNA". It matches the Rfam family "Bacterial large subunit ribosomal RNA", at positions 2108 to 2356 of the family's 2925-position model. The record is from RNAcentral. Lineage: Bacteria; Pseudomonadati; Pseudomonadota; Gammaproteobacteria; Enterobacterales; Enterobacteriaceae.